UUUGGAUUCGUAGCGCCGCAGCGCGAAAACUUACAACACGCAAGCAAGAUAAGGGAGCGCCGAGAGCCAGCACAUCCGGCUGUCCUCGGGGUAAAAACACGGUGACAGUAU
This 111-nucleotide ribosomal RNA is filed under the name uncultured archaeon. RNAcentral's name for it is "partial 16S ribosomal RNA". The record is from RNAcentral.